Long non-coding RNA from Marmota flaviventris (yellow-bellied marmot), 855 nucleotides. RefSeq lists it as uncharacterized. NCBI's taxonomy places the organism in Eukaryota, Metazoa, Chordata, Mammalia, Rodentia, Sciuridae. The record is from RefSeq and is a predicted model, not a curated record.
UUAUUUUAUUGGAUGGGGUGGGAGUGGAGAAAACACAAUAACUUUUUAGGGUCGAGCAAAUGAAACAAUGGGAAUUUAUGAAAAAUGAUCAGCCGCACAGGGUAUGUAUGCUAGGACUCUCAAUUUCAGGAAAAUCAUCCCAAUACAAUGUGGCCCUACCCCAGCUCCUUCUGUGUGGUUUUUUUUUUUUUUUUUUUUGGAGGUGGUGUCAUCUAUAAGUCUCCAUGGGGGCAACCAGGCACAGGGUCUGCUACCAGCUGAGUGUCAAUCAAGGUCAGGGUCUUCAGGAGUGAUGCUAAAGUAAAUUCCAGAGUGUUCAUUGGAGAUCAAGACCCGCGAAAGGAGCGGGAGGAGGAGAAGAAGAUGGACAGAAGAAGAAGGUGAACUUCCAACGGACAAUAGCAUUUCGGGUCAUCCCUGAGCUCUCAGGAAGGAAUAUAGGGAAUAUGCCUACCAGAGAGUCACAGGUCCAGGAGAAAGGAGCAGGCCAUUGUGUCCAUCUGGCUUGACCACGAAAUAAAGUGGCCUUGGGAAGAAUGGACUUCAGGCAGAGGGAUUUUCGUGCUGGUUGUGGGCUAUACUCUCUGCAGGGGGUGGCCCUCUGGGCUUAAAGGGGUUCUUGCAUGAUGAAAUCAGGGGGCUCUCUUUCCAGAAGGAAAAUGCAAAUACGCCCACUGGUAAAUAUGUUGCAGACAAUUUCGUAGGGUUCAUGAAUGUUCCCAGAUCCUCCAAGGCUCUUAUCAUAGAUAAUCCAAAUUAUAUUUUAUCUGCAUCGAAUUUCAUUGUUUUCUAUUCAAAUUUGCAACCCACUGUAUUUCCAUGAAAAGUCAAGAUUAAAUGAUUCUGGGGACUUAA